RNAcentral lists this ribosomal RNA (577 nucleotides) under Hepatozoon canis. RNAcentral describes it as "bacterial SSU rRNA". It matches the Rfam family "Eukaryotic small subunit ribosomal RNA", at positions 515 to 1089 of the family's 1831-position model. The record is from RNAcentral. Lineage: Eukaryota; Apicomplexa; Hepatozoidae.
UGAUGGAAAUUUAAACCCUUUUUAAAGUAUCAAUUGGAGGGCAAGUCUGGUGCCAGCAGCCGCGGUAAUUCCAGCUCCAAUAGCGUAUAUUAAAAUUGUUGCAGUUAAAAAGCUCGUAGUUGAAGUUCUGCUAAAAGUAACCGGUCUGCUUUUAAUAAAAGUGGUAUCUUGGUGUGUAUUUAGCAAUGAUGUCCUUUGAAGUGUUUUUUACUUUAUUGUAAUAAAGCAUAUUCAGGACUUUUACUUUGAGAAAAUUAGAGUGUUUCUAGCAGGCCGACGCUUUGAAUACUGCAGCAUGGAAUAAUAAGAUAGGAUUUUAGUUCUACAUUAUUGGUUUUAAGAGCUAAAUUAAUGAUUGAUAGGGACAGUUGGGGGCAUUUGUAUUUAACUGUCAGAGGUGAAAUUCUUAGAUUUGUUAAAGACAAACUACUGCGAAAGCAUUUGCCAAAGAUGUUUUCAUUAAUCAAGAACGAAAGUUAGGGGAUCGAAGACGAUCAGAUACCGUCGUAGUCUUAACUAUAAACUAUGCCGACUAGAGAUUGGAGGUCGUCUUUAUAAACGACUCCUUCAGCACCUU